AGCGGCCCUAGUGGUGAUCGUUAUUAUUGGGCCUAAAGCGUCCGUAGCCGGCUCGGUAAAUCUCUGGGUAAAUCGAUAGGCUUAACUUAUCGAAUUCUGGGGAGACUGCCGGGCUUGGGAUCGGGAGAGGUCGGAGGUACUCCAGGGGUAGGGGUGAAAUCCUGUAAUCCUUGGGGGACCACCGGUGGCGAAGGCGUCCGACCAGAACGAGUCCGACGGUAAGGGACGAAGCCCUGGGGCGCAAACCG
This 248-nucleotide ribosomal RNA is filed under the name uncultured euryarchaeote. Its description in RNAcentral is "partial 16S ribosomal RNA". It matches the Rfam family "Archaeal small subunit ribosomal RNA", at positions 478 to 726 of the family's 1478-position model. Lineage: Archaea; Methanobacteriati; Methanobacteriota. The record is from RNAcentral.